RNAcentral lists this ribosomal RNA (119 nucleotides) under Callithrix jacchus (white-tufted-ear marmoset). The record is from RNAcentral. Lineage: Eukaryota; Metazoa; Chordata; Mammalia; Primates; Cebidae.
GUCUACAGACAUACCCCCCGAAUGUGCCCAACUUGUCUGAUCUCCGAAGCUAAGCAGGGUUGAAUGUGGUUAGUACUUGGAUGGGAGACUGCCUGAGAAUAUCAGGUGUGCUGUAAGCU